Hemicordylus capensis (graceful crag lizard) is the source of this 2092-nucleotide long non-coding RNA. RefSeq lists it as uncharacterized. The transcript is spliced from 2 exons. The record is from RefSeq and is a predicted model, not a curated record. Lineage: Eukaryota; Metazoa; Chordata; Lepidosauria; Squamata; Cordylidae.
AAGUGUUGGUGGGGAGGAGAGGCGGGGGGCCUGGCACGGGCCGGCCAUGGCCAGGAAGCGGAGACUGGAGCAGAAGUGGGGGGGAGAGAUAACCGCCAGCCCCAACGAGCGCACAGAUGCUCUGUGCAGGGUCGGCUAGACAGGUGGUAGCACGAGCCAAGCUGCCAACAGCUAGACUAGGACCAUGAGCAAGUUCUGCAUCCAACGGGCCCAGCACUACCGCUGGGCAUUGAAGAUCUUAGCCAGCAGAGAACUGUUCGACUGGGACUUCUGCUGGAUCUCGACAGCCCGGGCCAGCUGCUGCUUGAGACGCUUGUUCCCUUUGCUAAUCUGGAUUUCCUCUUCGGUACGGCGCUGUACAAAGCCCCAGCUCUUUCCCUCUUGUUCUCUCUGACUGUCCUUCUCCGAAAAGUGCUUGCUCUUCUCCACAUUCUGCAGGUAAAAAUUAGUCUCGCGCUUCGCCUGCGAGACUUCAGCACGCAUGCGCUGCUGCCGCACCUGGCGCUCAUACGCUAGCCUUUCACUCAGGUGAAUCCACUUGAAGCGGUGCAAAUACUGUGAACAAGAUGACAGAGGAACUUGUUAAUACUUUAUAAGACACCAUCACACCACUCCUUGCUGCCCCUUUUCCUUAACCCUACAAGUGUCAUCAAUAUGCAGACAACACUCAACUCUAUCUCAUUUUGUUAUCUUAUCCUAGAGUGGUGGAUGUUCUAUACUGGGGGCUAGAAGCAGUGUGUGAGCAUGUGCAUUCAGAAGGGGCCAUGCUGAUUCAACCUGAGCAGGAUCUAAAAUUAACUGAGCAGACAUUUUUUAAAAAAACCUGUGUGCAUGCACUCAUUCACACGCCUUAGAGGGAACACUGAUACACACCUUCAUAUUCCACAGGUCAUGAUGAAAUCGGCUCUUCUUGCGGGUACCCAUAGACGUGUUGUGCAAACUGGCAGCUACCAACUUUGCCACACGCUUAUCCCGGAAUUCCACCCAGCCUUCUGUGAAGUUCUUGGCAUUGGUACCAGCUUUCUUCUUCUUCUUCCUUAUAAACCGCUCUGGGGGACACAGAAAGAGAGACUAUUGCAUCACAGAGAACCUUGGUAACUAUUCUGGUCCCAAGGAAGAGCUCUUUUUAGAGCUGGGCAACGGGCAAAUCGCACAUUUUAAGCAGCAAGGAAAAAGUGUUCACUUUACUAGAACCCAGAAGCAACCGCUUAUUGCCCCAUAAUGGAACUGCCAAUCAGUUUAUAACAAAACACUACAUUCUACACUCCAAACUUAAGUCGUACAGGAGCUUUAACAGAAAAGCGAGAGCACCGUACCAAAAGAUGCUAGAGCUUGCCUGCACAAUUUAUAACGAAUCAAGUCAAACAUAGCCAUGAAGUCCGUUUCCUGUUCUUCAACAUAGUAUUUUGUCCAUGUCCAUGGUAUUCAACAUAUUUUACUUUGAAGUCUUUCACCCUAGAACUGACUUUAACAAAGGAUUCACACACACCCUCUGCCCUAUCAUCUACUGCCUUCACUGUGCACGCACAAACACACACACACACACACACACUCACCUUCAGGCUGCAGGAAAAUACGUCCCACUUCACCAUAGCCACUAAGUAGGUUGCGGACAUGCCGAGGACGAAAGCGGGGAGGGAUAUGACCAAGGUAAAUUAUGCCAGGCACCAUCUUUUUUGUGUCAUUUUGCUCAGCAGGAUUCAACAGAGCACCACCUUCUCCCUCCUUGUUCUUUGUCCCUGUCCCGUCUCCUCCUCCUUCUUCACUAUCCAUAAGUAAGUCUUCAUUCACUGGUGUAUGGUGCUGCUCUUCACCCAUGUCAGCCAUCAAUACUGGAUGAUGUGCAGGAAUAGGGCGGCGGGGGUGUCAAAGGAGCUGAGAUGGUGCACAACUGGAAGGACUGCUUUCUUCCAAUAAUAAGAAAGAUAUCCCCAAAUAUCUGCAAGGAUAAAUAAGGCAUUGUUUUGGUUUAUUUAUCAUAUUUAUAUACUGCCUGAUCUAUGUAUCUCUAGGCUAAUAAUCCAAAAUACAAUUGUAACAGAAUAAAAACCAAUUAAACUGUUUAAAUUUUAAUUAAAAGCCUGAGAAAACA